This 103-nucleotide small nuclear RNA is filed under the name Nippostrongylus brasiliensis. Lineage: Eukaryota; Metazoa; Nematoda; Chromadorea; Rhabditida; Heligmosomidae. The record is from RNAcentral.
GUUCAUUCCUGAACAUAUACUAAAAUUGGAACGAUACAGAGAAGAUUAGCGUGGCCCCUGUGCGGAGAUGUACACGCAUAUUCGUGAUGUGUUCCAAUGUUUU